GUGCUUGCUUCGGCAUCACAUAUACUAAAACUGGAAUGAUACAGAAGAGAUUAGCAUGGCCCCUGUGCAAGGAUGAAACACAAACUUGUGAAGCAUUCUAUAUUUUU
Balaenoptera acutorostrata (minke whale) is the source of this 107-nucleotide small nuclear RNA. NCBI's taxonomy places the organism in Eukaryota, Metazoa, Chordata, Mammalia, Artiodactyla, Balaenopteridae. The record is from RefSeq and is a predicted model, not a curated record.